AAUACCCUUUUGCGGUCUAGGGAGGGUUCUACUUCCUCGUGCUACCAUAGAAUCUGGAUAUAUUCAGAGAAUGGGCAUCGGCUGAGAACAUUGACUUCACAAUACUCAGAUCCUGGAUUUCCUCCAAGAAGGUCUGGACAAAGGCCCCUCCUUGGGACCUUCCUCUUGUUCUCAACUUCCUGACUGAUGAUCUGUUCGUUCCACUUGAAAAUUUGGAUACUACCCUUCUGACUUACAAGACUUUGUUUUUGGUGGCUAUUACUUCCACAAGAAGAAUUUUAGAGAUUAAAGCCUUUUCUACCAUGUCUUCCUGCCUACAGAUCUGUGAAGAAAAUAACCUUUUAAUUCGUGACUUUUAUGUUCGGUAGUUUAACCCCUUAAGGACCAAACUUCUGGAAUAAAAAGGAAUCAUGACAUGUCACACAUGUCACGUGUCCUUAAGGGGUUAAACUAUCGAACACCGACCACCCCCCUGGAUAAUUAUCUACAAAGGGAAACUGUAGAUAGAGCACGCUCUCUCUGGGUGGCCGCCGUUCGUAUAGCCGAACUCCACGUGUGGGAGAAAAUGGCGGCCAUCUUGUUUGCACGAAAGGAGGCAGCGGGACUUUGUCGUCGAGUGUCUGGAACUAAAAUCGGACACUCGACUUCCCGAACACCGGUAAAAACAUACGAACACCUGCUUUCUUUUCCUGAACAGCUAGGAGAGCGCUGUUCGGUAGUUUUGUUCCCACGACAUUGUCGAAAUAGACCGACUGCACAGCCUAAACUCAUGGAACUGUUUUGGGCAGGAGCCUCGUGUGCAGUCGGUCAAAUGUGACUUCCAUGAAAUUCGAAAACUCCUGAACUGAUCUGGGUGAUUUUUGGAUAUGUUGGUCACCCAGAUCAGGGCUAUCAGGAGAUGUGACAUUUAUGGGGGUCCUGUAUGUCUUGGGGUGUUUUCCAAGUAUUCUGGAAAAUCGUCUUCUCUCUGCCUGGAGAUAAUUAAGUUAUUACUUUAUCUGACCCAAUUAUCUCCAGGCAGAGAGGAGGGAAUUAACUGUUUUUACUGGGAGUGUCACUGUUUGUCCCUGCAUUGUCAUUGGCUGUAUUAAGUUAUGUCUCUGUUCCAUCAGGUCCAGGGGGUGUUCCUCUGGCGUGGAGAAUUGCAUAAAAGCCAGUGUGGCACAAUAAAGCUUCAUUCCUGUUGUACCCUUCAUGAAGUCUAGGCUCAUGUUUAGGUAGCUGUCUACUUGCUGGGGAGAAAGUACUUGAAUGCUGCAUUCGUCUGGAACUAUUCACAUCUACACCCGAACUGCAACUAUAAUCACUACGGCUUAGUAGUUCGGGAGGAAUAGGCGAACAAGGUACUUAAAAUACUAGUGUUCGUAACAAAAUCUAUCAGGAUAGGGUGUGUCUGAAACCAAAACCUAAGUUUCUUCCUAACGCGGUCUCUGUCUCAUCUCUCGCAAGUGGUCCUUCCAUCAUUCUAUCCCAAUCCAACUUCUAAUGAAUAAGUUAGGUGGCAACGUUUGGAUGUUAAGAACUGUCUGUGUCAAUACCUUUUUCGUUCUAAGUCAUACAGGAAGACUGACCAACUCUUCGUUCUACCUUCAGGAGCUAGGAGACGCGACGCAGCUUCUUUAUCUACGUUGAAAUGUUGGAUUUUGCUAAUAAUCAGGAAAGUGUCAGUCUAUAAAGGUCAGUCUCCUCCAAUAAAGAUAGGAACACAUUCUACCAGAGCAUUGUCAACUUCAUGGGCUAAUUGGGCAUAGAUUCCAUACAAUAUUUGCAGAGCAGCCACCUGGUCUUCCCCGAUGUUGUUCAUAAAACACUACAAACUGGACGUGGCCUUUCCUUCCACCUCUUUUGGGAAGUGUUCUGUCCACGGUUUCUUUAUCCCACCAAUAUUAACUUUCUUUGCAGCACGAGUGUCUGCAUAAUCUUUUUAUCGGUUUCUUUAUUCCCACCCUAUAUUUCUGUGAGCUUGGGUAUAACCCAUAAGUGAUGCUGCUAUGAUUAGCCAGGAAUCGAGAAAAUGUAUGACAAACUUACCAUAAUUUUCUUUUCCUGGCUAUUUCUCAUGUCAGCAUCAGGGUUCCCGUACAUGCCUUUAUUUUAUUUUUUUCCCCAGCUUUAUAAUUGGACUGUGGUGUAAGGGGAGGAGGUACUCUUUAUACCUAUCAGUCUAAUUAAUUCCUGUCCUGUGACUGCUAAGGGAGGAGCUACCCAUAAGUGAUGCUGCCAUGAGAAAUAGCCAAGAAAAGAAAAUUACUGUAAGUUUGCCAUAAAUUUCCUCUUACUCUUUAGGUUAGCAAGUUGCUAGUGACCACUUUUACUGCCAUGAUUAGCCUGGUUUUUCCAUAUUAAGAUAUACCCAAAAUGCGAUAAACCCAUGCAAGUAGAAAAUUAUCUUCAGUGUUCAUCUACAGGUAACAAUUAUUUGUUUGUCAUAUUUGUAUGUUAUUUCACUGUUGCCUCCAAUAUCACCUCCCCUAUAAAAUGUUUAAGCAUUUCUCGUAAAGUAGUCCCUGAAAAAGGAGUAACAGUUUCUUAUUCUUCUACUAUCUCCACAAAGGGGUUUAUUUUUUUAAUAUUCCAAAUUGCAACAUUAACCCCUUAAGACCG
This 2604-nucleotide long non-coding RNA is filed under the name Pelobates cultripes (western spadefoot toad). The record is from RNAcentral. Lineage: Eukaryota; Metazoa; Chordata; Amphibia; Anura; Pelobatidae.